RNAcentral lists this long non-coding RNA (300 nucleotides) under Vitis vinifera (wine grape). Its description in RNAcentral is "long non-coding RNA (VVIN_LNC007525)". The record is from RNAcentral. Lineage: Eukaryota; Viridiplantae; Streptophyta; Magnoliopsida; Vitales; Vitaceae.
UGCACGUGCAUCUGAGAAAGUGCAUGCAUCAUGGCUUAUGAUAUACGGUGGAAUUUACAUGAUUGCCCAUGUCCAACUUGGAAAUUUUGAUCUGAUGGGCUUAGAUGAAUCUGCAUUUGAGACCCCAACCCGCAUAGCACUCCUCCAUCGUCCGAUUUGAAUGCCUUUGUUCCCACCAUCUCUCAAUAUAUUACAAUCCUUGAGAACCGUUGAUGCUGUCGACGAAGAGGAAGUCGUCGAAUCUACGCCCUCUGAGUAGUCGGUGGAGUCUGCACACGAGUGAUCACGUGAUUCCCUGCC